CCCUGCCGCCUUCGACACCCUGAACUCAACUUGUCAGCUUCUUGAGUUCCUCAACUAUGUUUUUAAUGAGCAGGUCCUUCUCAAAAGAUUCUGGUGUAUAGGAUAUUGGUUGGAUAGAGUGAGGCACAGUCUCCACGUAUAUGGGAUUAUUUUGGUGAGUGCCCGGUGUCUGGGUGUAAUGGUGGUCAUUGGUAGAGUUUUGAGGGUCGGGAAUGGGUUGUGGUGUAUUCUGGGGAGUAUGAUAAGUGGUGGUUGGUGGGUAAUGAAUUGGUUAAUGAUGGUGUUGUGACGGAGUUUGAUGCAGUGUAGGAGGGUUUUGCGGAUGUUGGUUUGGUGUGUUUUGAGGAGGUGCUGGGUUCUUUGUGUUUUUUUGGUUGAUGUCGGGGACAUCCAGGGUGAGUGACAAGUUUUCCAAGUUGAGUACCUGCUCAAGCUCUCCUUGUAGCUCUGAUAUCUUUUGUUCCAACCUCAAGACUAGAUCAUUCGGUGUCGGGGUACUACGACCAUCUAAAGCUUCUGCGUUCUCAGCAUUCUCCUUUCGAAUACCACUUAAAUCGUCCAUUUUUGCUUUUCCUUUGCUUUUUGUAUUACUUGGAGAAGGAGGAGGAGGUGGAGGAGGGCCUCGAGAUUUGGUGUGAUAUGCUGAUGAUGCCAGUAUGAGCGAACCAACCUUAGGGGAUGUGAAUAAAGAAAUAAAGAAAAACAAAAAGGUAAAUAAGUCAGUAAGGAUUCUGAAAUGUUUGCAAUAUUUAAACACAUAUUAGGGGAAUGUAAAUUCAUGUCCUAAUUUGGGAGCCUCAUUGUGCUCGAUAUAGGCCUAGCAACAAAUAAAUUUAGAGCAAUUUAGUGCCAAUAAUUGCCUCAUUUCAUUAAAGUAAAAAUAAACGAACCAAAACAAAACUAAAUAAGACAAUGUCACUACUAGCUCUUUGCCUUAUUACAUUUGAAAAGAAAGAAAGUAAAUCUACUCUACUUGGUCCCAGAAGGACCCUCUCCAGACUGGAUGCUCUUGUCGAUCAACUCUCCCAACUCGCGCAGGUUCAGCAGCAGGAAUGCCCUUGCAAGAUGCCCUCCUUCGUUUCCUUUAGCAUUUUGGCAGUCAGUGACCCUUUUUCUCAUCUUCCCUUCCAACUCCAUUAAACUGUACUCCAAGUAUUCCAGCCAUUCAUUAAUCAUAUCCAUAUUAGCCUUGUGCAGUGCCAUAUGCUCGGCUUCAGACUCUCGAACUCUUUUCUGCAUCUUGUUAUACUUCACCUCUGCUUCAGCAACCUCGUCUAUAACCCUAUUUCCUGGUCCGGUCUUUGGCUCAACGACCCCAGUUAUGUUGUCCUCCAACCACAAAGGGUAAAGGUAUGAGUGUCCUGUGUGAUAUCAGUUUGGCUCAAUAGUAUCCUUCUCCACAAUAAUCUUCAAGGUCCACAUGUGUUGCGCUUCAUUCUUAUAUAGGAUGGCGUCACCUUGGAAAUUGGCUCUGAAGUGACACAUUUUGGCGACCCAUGGUAUGAUUUUUCUCCUGCAUGCUUGUCUCAUAACCCUGAGAGGAGCGUAAGGGUAUAUGCCCCUCAACACGAUCAAAACCAAGUGCGGAAAAAUCCCUGGAUCUAAUGAUGAAUUCAUCGGUAGGGAACCACUCAAACAUCCACUAGACUUGAUCCUCAGUCAAAUUUUCAAAAAACAAUACCCAUCCUGCACUGUCCUCUGGCUGAGCAAACAUGUCUGGAAUAUAAUUCAUUCUUUUGGGAUGAUGGAAGGCUAUAUGAUCAUUCCACGGCCUUCUCGGAAAGUCUUGACGGCAUUGCCCCUUUUGGAGAUGUUCCAACAACCAGACUUGUAGCAGCAAGUUGCAACCCUCGAAGAACCUGAACCCCUUCUGACAUCGCUCCAAAGCCCGGUACAUGUCUGCAACAAUCAUAGGGACGAUAGUGUAUGUCUCCCCCUCGAUCCCGUCCAUCAGAGUUUUGGUUACCAUGGCCAGCCUAGUAUGGAUCAUAUCCCCUUGGAUUGGGAAACCAGCAUGCCCAAGAAACACAUGAUAAACACGAAGACCCUAUGAUGAAUCCAACCUAAAAAAGUGAUUGAUAACUCAUCGUCAAAAAUACGGUAGGAACUGUUGUGGCUGUAUCUUUCAUAAAGGAACUCAAAAGGUAUGUAGGAGUACUUUAGUCAUUUCAAGUUGUCAUUCUUCUUCAGCCCCACCAUUUUCAGAAAUCCUCUAGCAGUGCGGUUUUCAGGUGCUAACAUAUUAGGGCUAUCCCAAGGCAACCCAGCAAAUCCUCCUCUCUCUUCUAGAAGGGGUGUCAUUUUUAUGUUCCCAAAAUGGAACACAGCCCUUUCCUUGUCCCAAAACAUAGUUGCAGCCUCGAUCAGCAUUUUGUUGAGCUGAAGAUCCAUUAGAGAAGGCAAGUUUCCUAGGACUCGUUUCACAUGGUUUUGGUCACAUGAAGGAAGAUCCCUCCACCAAUCUAGCAAAAGUGAGGGUGUGCUAACCAUACCGAAUCUGGGGACCUCGUGCCUCAUUUUCUGCAAAACAAAGAGAGUUAGGACCUUUCCCCCUCCAGGUUCAUCUAUUUAUACCGUAAUGAUUAGCAUAUUGGUACUUAUUUCUCCAAAUUAAUGCACAUAAUCACGGUUACGUCCAUUGGGAUUAUGGAAAACCCGAUGGACUUUUGGACAAGGUUUGUCUUAAAGGGCUAGUAUUUGGACAACAUAUUAACCUGGCUAGGUUUGACCAUGAUGCAUGUACAAUUUAAUCAGAGUAGGGUUGCUAUAGAGGUCUAGACUGGGACCCUCAAGUGGACAACUUGAGGGGGAAAGGCACGGAACCAUCGAAUGCACCGCUGAUCGACCAGUUUUACCGCAAAUAUGCCUUUCCAAAUUUAAAGGGUGAUAUAUAGGAAGAGGAAAAACACUCAUCAAGCGUUACUAUAGGAUUAAUUGCACACGAGUGGAGUAUGAUGUUGAACAUGAUUUAUGCAGUAAUAAAGAGCAUGUUGUCAAGUAUUUGCACGUAAGAAAAUAAUAAAUGCAGUAUAUAAAUAAUUGAAGAGACAGUUACAAAACAAGAAAACAAGGAGACAAGUCAGUUUUAGGAAUAAAGAAUCAUAAAUGCUUGAAAAUAGACAGUUAAAUUCAAAUAAGGGGAAAGGGUACGUGGGAUAGAGCAUGCUUGGACUAAUUCACAAAAGAUAAGUUCAUUAUGGUAAGAGCCUAAAAUAUCCCCAGUAGAAUCGCCACACUGUCGCGCCCCUUUUUUCCCUUUUUGAUGGGGAAGUCCGAGUUUCGACAUUCAUGGGGGGAAUAACUCAUUUUCUUUUGGGAAUUGGAUAUUUGAAGAGUCACCACCUAACAGAUUAUGGUGCGUUAGGACACCUUGACGAAUUAAAUCAUGGACUAGUUUGCAUUACCAGAAAUUAGGGUAAGAGCUCAAAAUAACCUUGAGGGGAAGGUGUUAGGUGCCCCUCGCGGUCCAUAACGGUGGGUCCGGCUGAACUUAAACUAUGUGAAUUAAUCAUUUUAACAAAUAAACAGUUUUAACACGUACUUGCAAGUAAAACGCAUAUUUUGACAUUCUAAGCACAUGUAUGAUUCAAGUAAUGGAACAAGGGAAAAGGUUUGAACAAGUUACACAUAUAUAAACAAAAUUAAAUUUAUUUAAACAACGGGAGUUGGGAAAUAGGGGUCCUAGUAUUCUAGGAGUAAGUGGAAGUGCAAAAUGGUUUGAAAGAGUUUAAAAGAAAGGUCUUAGGAUUGAAAAGAAUUUCUGAAAACCAUUAGUGAUAAAACAGUUUGAGGGAAUGUGUAAAGAAAUAAUUUUGCAAUCAAAACACAAGAUAGAGAACAAACAAACUUUAGGAAGUAACUUUGUCAAGUAGCUUUCACACAAGGGAAGAAGGAUUGGGAAUAUAGAGAGUGCACCUUAAUGGAGCAUACAAACAACAGGAUGCAUAGAGUUUGAAGGGGGUUCUAUGGAACUAGUAGAUUAGAUAGAACCAGGUCAUGCAGCAAAGGAUCACAGCAGAAACAUGUUGAAGCCACUCUGGAGAGAGUAACUUAGCAGGAAUAAGGCAGAAUAAACAAGGAUUUAAAUGGACAUGCUAGGCAAGUGUUAACAAGUGUAGGCAUGCUAGUUACAUAUAAGCAGAGUUUAGAUAAACAAUAAUCAGUCAAACAGGCUAGUUACAUAUGUAGACAUAUUAAACAAGAUGGCAAACAAGCAAGUAAAGUGGAAAUAUGCUAAUCACAUGUUUGAAGAGGCAGUAUUAGGCAUGCUGAGUAAGCAGUAAACAGAAGUAAGAAUGGACUCAGGCCAUAUAAACUAAGACAGUAAAUAAACACAUAGGUUUAGAUUCUUAAAAAUUAAUUAGAAGCAUACCUAGUUAAAGAAAGAAAACACAAGAUGUGAGCAAGGUAUUGUGCAAUUCCCAGCCUUGGCUUGGAGCCGGCUAGAAUAACAGGGAUCACAAGUAGCAAAAAGAGCAGAGAGAGAGCCUUUUAAUGUGUAAAGUGAUAGUUUUUUGAACUAUUAUUCGUAUCUGAAGUUAAAAUAAGAGGGAGUUUAUAUAGUAAUCAAGAGUUAACAAAAUAAGGCAAGAGAUCAAUUAAGUAGCAAUUAGGGAAAUUCAUAAAAUCAAUCACCUACGCAAAAUCAGUAGGUCUCUCCCUUAAUCAAGGGAUAAUCAAAUCAAUAGUAAAAGCAUGACAGAUAUUUAGGAAAAGAAUCAAGUAAGGUUUGGGUAUCGAGUAGGUAAUUAGGGAUAAAUGAACAGAAGUUUCUAUUAAGGAAACAAUAAAUCAGAAUCAGUAAAUAACAAAUAAGGCAAGGGAAAAACUAAUUAAGGCAAGGAGUUCAAUCAAACCGAGUAGAGAAAUAAGUGUCAAAAGUUUUGUUAAGGAAAAGAGUCCAAAUCAAACCAGGAAAUAAGAACUUCAGAAUAGUCAAGGGUUCAAUCAAAGAGAAAAUCACAUAAAGAGUCAGCAAGAUCGUAGACAAAAUAAGGCAAGAAAUGAAUAGUUAGGAUUCGACACAUAACUUUAACGAAAUAAAUUGGUAAAUCAAGAAAACGACACUGAUUUAAGGAGAAAAAUACAGUCUUAACAUGAAUAGUCAGAAUGAAUAUAAACAUAUAGAAUCAGUAGGAAAGUUGAACUAAGAAACUCAGUAGAGGCAUAUUAGGAUAAGAAAGCCACGGGACAUCUAAAUGGCUAAAGAAAUAUCACAAGAACCAAGGCAAGAACAAAGUCAGUACAUAAGUACUUAGAAACCAAACAAAGAAUGUAGAAGAAAAAUUAGGGCUUUUAGUAUAAACGAGUUAAGGUUAAAGCAAACCUUACGAAACCAGUCAAGACACAUAAGAACCAAAAGAUCAGACACUCAAAACUAUCAAACAUUUUUGGAAAAUAAAUUUUCGGAAACCCUGGUUUUGGAAAAGAAAUUUUCGGAAACCCUAGUUUAGGAAAAUGGAAAACCAUUAGAAAAUUAGAAGAUCCUUAUAAAAAUCAGAAGGUUAUUUGUAAAUAUCAUAUGAAAUAGGUCCAAACAUCUCAGAUCUGUACAGAUCUAAGAAGUUUAGAAGAAAUUAGGGUUUCAAGAAGAACAACAUAGAGGUGAAGAAGCAAGCUCAGAAACCUAUAGAUCUAAGGCAAUAUAGAAAGCUCUUACUCGGAAUCACAUCGGAACAACUUGAAAUAGGAGAGAAAGGACCGUAGAUGCAAGCAAACUAACCCUGGUCCCUUGAGGACCCUGGAGAUGGUGAUACCAAUACAAGAGAGGUCAUUAGAGGCCUGGGGGUGGUGAGAAACCACCGUAGAUAUCCAUAGAUGAGUGACGCCGAGAUCCGAUUAAGGUUAGGUUUGAGAGAAUUUGAGAGAGUAAAGGGAUUUUAGGGCAGCUAUGUGGUGAGAAAUGAGAGGGUUUGGGGGGGUUGUUUAGUUUAAUUUAGGAAAAGAUGAAUCUGGACCGUUGAUCAAAAUGAUCAACGACAAGGAUUUGGCCGGGUAUUGGGUCAAGUAGACGAGUAUUGAGCCUAGGGUAGGUUUAGGUUGAGAUUGGGCUGGGUAUUGGGUCAAAAUUAAGGCCAAAUUUGAAAUAAAAUAAGGCCAAAUUUUAAAUAGGCACUUUUAAUAACUAAAUAAUUUAUAAAAAAAUAAUAAAUGAGUAGCAAAAUAUCGUUGGGUACUAAAAUAAUUUAAAAUAGUUAUUUAAUAUUUUAAAAAUAUAAAAGAUCAUUUUAUGCAUAAAUAAUAUAAUUAUACAUUGGUAAUGGCUAUUAUUGCAAAUAUGUGUAAUUUAGCUUAAAAUAUAAAUAUAAUUACGAAAAAUGCACAAAAAAUAUUUCUAUACUAUGUUAGCAUAAAUAAUGAAUUUGGAUGGCUAAAUCAUUACAAAAGUAAAUUUGAAGGAUAAUUAUUGGAUAUUUAUAUAAUGAAAAGAAGAGAAAUAAAUUGAUUUGGAGCUUUUAAAACUGUAGAAAAAUUAUAAAAAAAACUUAUGCAUGCUUAUAACUACAUAUGUACUAUUUUGAAAGCAUAUAUACAUGUUUAAAAAAUAUAUGAGAAAAAAUUGUGUAUCAACGAUGAUCACAAUUCCUUCUAGGGGAAAGAGACUUGGGUUCUUCAAAUACAUUUGAGAAUGCAUUGUAGUCAUUGUAGGGGAAGGUUUUCCACUAUCAGGCUUGGUUUCCAUGACAGAGAGAUGGGCAAAACAACCGCAUAAGUUGUUCUUAAGCAGUUUGGGCAAGGUUCUACCUUCUAUUGAGAUCAAUCCAACCUUAUCUUCCUUGCCUAAUAGAGUAAUGAAUCUGCCCUCCUUAAAGAAUGAAAUAUUGUGAGGUCUUAUAUGUAGUACGACAGGGCUAAAUAUAUCCACCCAAUACAUUCCCAAAACCAAGUCGCAACCACCCACCUUCAGCAACCUCAUAUCACACCAAAAUUCCUUUUUCUGUAUGCACCACUAAAAGUUGGGGCAAAGUUGUUCACAUCUCAUAGUGGUUACAUCAGCUAUAGACACAAGCAUAGGUCUUUUGCAAGACAUCACUGGUAGCCUCAACGUUUUUACAAUUUGAGGAUUAAUGAAGCUAUGUGUAGAGACACUAUCAAUGAGGAUAAUGAGUGAAAUAUUCUUCACUGUACCAACUAUUUUAAUAGUACUAGGGUAUUUAAACCACCAUACAUCAUAGUAAGAGACACUUCCCUAUUUUCUACUUCCAACUGUUCCUCGACAUCUUAGAAUUCCCCAACUGCAACAUCAUGGAAUUCCUCUCCAUUUGCAAUCUCAUUUAUAUUUAUCGUGUCCAAUAUAUUAAGCUAUUUAUAAUUGGGUUUACAUUGAUGGCCUAAGAAAUAGGGUUCAUGGCAUCGGAAGCAUAGGUUCUUUUCUUUUAGCAACUCAUAGGAAGGAUUCUUUUGGUUGUUCUAUUUGUGAGGUUGGCUUCGGUAUUUUUGAGUAUGGUUAAAUGGAGGUUUGGGCUGGUACAGGUUUUGGAUAAGAGAAAGUGGUUUAUGGCUGUUUGUUCUGGGCAUUAAAAGACUCUUCAUGGAACUUGGCAAUUUCAUAAGCAUCCAUCACGGAAGAAGGGUUUGCUACUCUCACCAAUGGCUUAAUCUAGUUUAAGAAUUUUCACGAAGCUAGAAAUAAAAUACAUCUCCCUCAAUGAUAGAUUUACAAUCCUCAUAUGAGUCCUCAUCUCUUCAAACCUAUCUUGAUAAGCAUCAACACUCCCUGUUUGCUUAAGGCUUCUAAAUUCAUCGAUAUCAUCCAGAGGUCUGAGAUUGCCAAACCUCCUACAAACUUCUACAGAAAAUUGCUCCCAAUUCAAAAUACCAUCAUUGUCUAGCAAGAAGUUUUUGAACCACAAGUCCAUCUACUCUUUUGCAUUAAAAUCUAUGUAGUCAAUCCUCUGAUAAUUCGAAACUUGGUAAAUGCGAAAAAAUUUGUUACACCUUCUCAACCAGCCUUGAGAAUUUGUGGCGUCAUUAUCCGAAAAGGGAAGCUUAGCUUUGGGUUUGUUUAGAGGUACAAUAUGGUUAAUCUGAGUUAAAGGGUUUUUUGUGGGGUAGAAAGCAUGGCAGGGUUAAGAUUUGAGCUCGAAUUGUUUGGGAUGGGGAUUUGUACUGUACUUGAUACCAAGGGGUCAGUAUUAUGGUUUGAAGGAUGAUUCGGUGGUAUGUCUAAGGGUUGAGAUAAUAUUAGGGUAGGGUUUGCAGCACUCGAUCCCUGAAGUUGAACAGAGAUCGCCGAUAGCACUAUACCUUUUGAAUGUCUUGGGUUAGGUAUAAGGGUUGAUGGGGGUGUGGGGAGAGGUGAAAUUGAGAAGGGAAUUUGUUGAAUUGAGCCAUGCGAUCUGAGUAAUUAGGAAUUUCUUAGAGAGAAAUUGAGUAGAAGAGGAAGAAGAAACUCGUUUCUCAUUUUUCAAUUAAAGGCUGAUACACAGCUUAUAUACAGACCUCUCUCAACUCACAUACGUGCACAUCACAUGACCUUUUAACUAACUCUAAAACUGAUUUUAACUAAUGACUAUGUCAGCUAAUCAUAGUUAGUGCUAGUGCUAACAGUGCUAACAGCUAAUGUUCUGCACCACUCCACUUCUGCUUCAUCACUCCACUUCUCUAUAUUCAUUACUCCCCCUCAAGCAGGAGGGUAAAAGACAUCGAGCACUCCUAGCUUGGAGAGAAGAAGAUGGCGUUGACUAACUCCCAAACCUUUUGUAAGAAGGUCUGCAAGUUGAGACUGUGUGGCAAUGUAGUUGGUCUCAAUAAGUCUUUCCUUUACCUUUUCCCGAACAAAGUGACAAUCAAUAUCUAUAUGUUUGGUACGCUCAUAGAAAGUGGGGUUUGCAGCAAUCUGGAUAGCUGCUUUGCUAUCAGAGUGAAGUUGAAUUGGUUUGGAAACUACCAUACCUAUGUCUUGCAGUAAGCCGACCAACCAUAUAAUAUCUGCCACACUUGUUGCCAUACUCCGAUAUUCAGCUUCAGCAGAACUUCUACUGACUGUGUGUUGCUUCUUUGUCUUCCAUGAGACCAGAGAAUCACCUAGUUUAAUCACAUACCUGUGACUGAUCGCCUAGUAUUGGGGUAUGCUGCCCAAUCAGAGUCACAAUAAGCAGUCAAUUGAGUGGCUAGCUUAUGGCUGAGAAAAAUUCCCAAACCUGGGCUGCUUUUAAUAUAUCUCACCACCUUUAAGGCUGCUUCCCAGUGUGAUUUCUUGGGCUGCUGCAUAAAUUGACUAAGGACCUGUACAGUGAAGCAGAUUUCUGGACGUAUGAUAGUAAGAUAAAUCAAUUUACCCACCAAUAUUUGAUAACCUGACAUUUCUUCGAGUAUAGGGCCAUCAACUACUCCAGUCAAUCUGUCGAAUUCUACAGUCGUGAGUCUUGCGCUUGCUUCAAUUGGUGUGGAAGCUGGUUUUGCACCACUAAGGCCCACAUCUAAGAUCAUUUCUAAAGCAUACUUUCUCUGAUUGAGAAGUAUUCCCUAUUUUGACCUUAACACUUCAAUCCCUAGGAAUAUUUGAGUUCUCCAAGAUCCUUGACUUUGAAAUUGUUAUGUAGAACUUGUUUUGCUUCUUCAAUGAGGUGUUUGUUGUUCCCAGUAAUAAGAAGAUCAAAAACAUAGAUUAGAAUGAUCAUGAGGGCUUUGACAGUAUCCUGCUUCCACCAAAACAGAUGUGAGCUUGAUAUUCCAUUGCCUCAAUGCUUGUUUGAGACCAUACAAGGAUUUCAAGAGCUUACAUACCCUAUACUCCCCCUACCUGUGAAAGCCUUAUGGCAACUCCAUAUAGACUUCUUCAUAUAAAUCCCCUUGAAGAAAUGCAUUGUUGACAUCCAUUUGGUAUAGGCACCAAUUCUUCGAGGCUGCCACACUGAUGACUGUUAACAAUGACCAUUUUUGCAAUAGGAGAGAAGGUUUCAUAAUAGUCUGACCCUCUCUUUGUGUAUAUCCCUUAGCUACUAGUCGUGUCUUGUACUUGUCAAUCUCACCAAUGGCUUUGUAUUUAAUCUUGUAAAUCCACUUUGAACCUAUAGUUUGCUUUCCCUUAGGUAAUGAAACUAACUCCCAAGUUUUGUUCCCUUCCAGUGCAUCAAUUUCCUGUUGCAUUGCCAAAAUCCAAUUAGGAUCUUGAGAAGCUUCUUUGAAUGACUUAGGCUCAGUUGAUGUAGAGAAAGAUCCCAAGUAAGCUUGAUAAUUGGGAUGAAGAUGAGUGUAGCUGACAUGCUCGGAUAUAGGAUAAGAGCAGUGGGCUUUUGAUUUUCCAGUAGUGAUGUAAUCAGUGAGCCAAAUUGGUGGUCUAGUUGUUCUGCUUAGCCUGCCAUGAGCAGUCCCACCUUCUUCAUGUUGUUGGACUGCUUCAGAUGCUAAUUCCACAGUAGCAGGAGAGAGCAUGAAGACAUCAGAAACACAAGGUCGUUUCUUCAAUAAACAACAAUACAAGCAGAUACUGAACAUGCUGAACAAACCAACAUCUAGUGAUAAUGUAGAUAAUAUAACAGGUAACAUUGCAGGUAUGACCUCACUGCUAUCCAAUGACUUUGAUUAUGAAUGGAUAAUAGAUAUAGGGGCAUCUUACCAUAUUACACCAUACAAGGAGUUAUUAACCACCUUUAGAACCUUAAAAAAUCCAAAAUAACAAUAGAGUGCAAGUUCCCAUAGGUGGUAGAGUAGAAAUCACAAGUAUAGGAGGUGCAGUGAUUUUGGGAAGCUACAAGCUUGAGAAUGUACUUCAUGUGCCAGAUUUCAAGUUUAAUCUACUUUUAGUGUCCAAGAUAACCAAACAACUUUGUUGUGUGGCUUUGUUCUUUCCUGAUUUUUGUGUAUUCCAGGGGCUCUUCAAUGGGAAGGUUCUGGGGAUUGGUAAAGAAAAGGAAGAUUAUACAUACUGCAAGAAAGAAUAAAAACUACAAUUGGAGCAGCAGUGCAUAAGGAUGAUGAUUGUGGAAAGCUAUGGCAUUGGAGACUUGGAUAUCCUUCUAUUGGAGCAAUGCAACAUAUUACAGAUGUCAAAAUGAACAGUUAAGCUGCUGUGAAAUUUGCCCUCUGACAAAGCAAAGUAGACUAAAGUUUCCUGUUAGUGACAGUAAUUCAAACUGUAUUUUUAAACUGUUUCAUCUAGAUGUGUGGGGACCUUACAGGAAACCUACAUAUAAUAAAAGAAACUAUUUUGUUACCAUAGUAGAUGAUUACAGUAGAUACACUUGGAUUUGCCUGAUCCAAUCUAAAUGUGAGGUGAUUGUAGUGUUGAAAAACUUCAUUGCCUUAAUAAAGAAUCAGUUUGAUAAAACUGUUAAAAUCCUUAGAUCAGAUAAUGGUAGUGAGUUCUUUAACUCAAGUGUGAUGAUCUUUUGUCUUCCUAUGGUAUAAUUCAUCAAAGCAGCUGUCCAUACACUCUACAACAAAAUGGAGUUGUGGAGAGAAAGCACAGACACAUUCUAGAGGUAGCUAGAGCCUUAGCAUUUCAGAGUUCAAUGCCUAUAAAGUUUUGGGGAGAUUGUGUGAGGAUUGUUGUUUAUCUGAUCAAUCGACUGCCUUCUAAAGUGUUGCAAGGAAAAACACCAUUUGAGCUACUGCAUGGCAAGCUGCCUCAACUAUCUCUGACAUGUUAAUCGUACAGAUUAUCAGCUUAUUGACAUCUCUGAAGAUGGAUUUGUGAGUCUGCUCACUGAGAAUGGUAACACCAAGGAUGACCUUAGGCUUCCUACUGAUGACAACCUCCUUACACAGAUCAAGGAUGGUUUUGCUGAGGGAAAAGACCUUGUUGUGUCUGUCAUGUCAGCCAUGGGUGAGGAGCAGAUUUGUGCCCUGAAGGAUAUUGGUCCCAAAUAAAUCUCUCGAUUGGAGAUUGUUCGAUGAGAAGUUCUUUACUACCUUAAGUUGGAUAGAUAUUAUAGUCAUGGAAAAAGGUAUGGUCUUAUGGACCAACUUGUUCAAGAAUAUUCUUCAGGAUUCUCGGACCAUUGCGAGUUAGAUUUUCGUAUUUUUGUUAUUUUAACUUGUGUUCGUCUGAAUUUUGUUCUACCUUAAAACUUUCUUCAAAAAAAAUAAGGUCUGAAUCCACUGGUUUGUGAUCCUUUCUUUUUGCUUUUAAAAUCCUGUGGGUAACCAACAAUUUAGUAACAGUUUUCCUUCAAAUGUCCCUUAUAACCACAAUGCUCACAGAUUAUACCAACUCCAGCCCUUUUAGGUUUAGGACUCUGGUAGGUUCUCCCUGCUAACAUUGUCAAUGGAUCUUUGUUAACAUCUACUACACCUAACAAUCUUUGACUCUCCUUCUAAGAAAUAAUUGCAUAGGCUUCAUUUACAGACACUAUAGGUCUCCUUGCAAGUAGAUUACUUCUUAUAUUACUGUGGAUUUAUUAAGUCCCAUAAGGAACUGCAGCAAUCUCUGUGAUCUCAAAUAGACUACAUAAGGCAGGGAUUCUUUACAAUCAAAGGAAGGAAGUGGGGUUAAGACAUCUAACUCAUCCCAACAAUUCUUCAUUUUAGAGUAAUACGAAGUAACAGACUCAGUUUCUUGCUUCAAAGUGGGAAUUUCAGUCCACAAAUGAAAUAUCCUAGUUAAAUUCGAUCUAUCAAAUCUCUCCUCAAAUUCACUCCAUACCUUCUUAGCAUUAGAUGCAUACACAAUGCUGGCCAUCAAUUCCUCUGCAACGGUGCUUCCUAUCCAUGAUAGAACAAUAACAUUGUACUUCUCCCAUUGCUCCGCUAAUUCACCCUUGUACAUGAUUUUAACACAGGUUCCGUCCACAAAACCUAGUUUUCCUUUGCCUCGAAGAGCUAAUUUCAUUGCUCUACUCCACAAAGCGUAUUUGUUUGGUCCUGUGAGCUUCAGCUGUAUUAAGUUAAGCCCAGGCGAAUCUCCAGGUUGAAGAUGCAGUGGAUGAUUGUGAUCUAAUGAAGUAACUUCAUUUCCUGCCAUUUUUGGUGAAAAAUCGAGCUUCACGAUCCUCUGCAAUCAGCUAGGAAAUUACACGAACUAUGCUUUGUGUUCUUCUGUAGGUCUCGAUCUAUUUCAGUGCAUGUGUUUUCCUCAAUUCACCCGCUCUGAUACCAUGUUAAAUUGAGCCAUGCGAUCUGAGUAAUUAGGAAUUUCUUAGAGAGAAAUUGAGUAGAAGAGGAAGAAGAAACUCGUUUCUCAUUUUUCAAUUGAAGGCUGAUACAUAACUUAUAUACAGACCUCUCUCAGCUCACACACGUGCACAUCACAUGACCUUUUAACUAACUCUAAAACUGAUUUUAACUAAUGACUAUGCCAGCUAAUCAUAGUUAGUGCUAGUGAUAACAGUGCUAACAGCUAAUGUUCUGCACCACACCACUUCUGCUUCAUCACUCCACUUCUCUAUAUUUCAUUAGAAUUGGGCCAGAAAUAGACUCGGUACCUUUUGAGGAGCCAAUUUGCGCGCUAGUAGCUGCAACUAGGUAAGAUCGUUGUGAAGCUAGUGGUUCUGACCUUUGUUGUGCUUCCCGCUGAAUGAAUAACUGCUCCAUUCUUUUGCCAGUUUCCUCUAUGCUCCAGCAACUUGCUUUAGUCUCUAUUAAAGCAGUUUUAACCUGAUUUUGUUCGAGCUCUAGUUUCUCAAACUUUUUGUUAGUGUCUCCCAUAAACUCUUGAAGUUGAGCUUCAAUUUUUCGGAUUGGCUCGUCGGAGCUUUGAGAUUUUCUGGUAGCUCCGGUCAUUGUCGUGGUGGUCCGAGAUCGCAGGGCUAUACCAAAUAUUGUGGUAUCGGCCACAACGCUAACAACGCGAGUGGAGAGGAAGAUAGAGGGAGAAAUAAGAUGAGAGGAGAGAAUAAUAUUUUUUCAUUAAUUUCCAAAUGCUCUGUACGAGUACACAUAAAUCAGUGUAGUUGCCAGCUCACUAACUAAUUACAAGGACUUAACUGUAGAUAUAAAAACUUGUGGGUGUACCCACUUGAUUUGAAAACCUCUAUUUCUCGUACUUACUUAAAAACAACCUAUACUUAGUGAUGUUUUUCUUAGAGCUAAUUUUUUAAGUUAUAUUUUACCUAUAAUAGCUUUUUACCUAUAACAGCAACAACCAUAUUUAUAGCUGAACGCUCUUUGUAAAAUUAUCUCUUUAUAAUAGCUAUAUAUAAUCUUUAAGAUUACUAAUAAUAAUUUCAAAAAUAUGAUCACAAUCUUUUCCAUUGAACAAAGUUUCUAUCUUGCAUAAGACAUAAGAUUUGAAGAUCCGCACAUGAUAUAUUUUUCAUUGGAUACCUUUUUGUUGAAAAUCUGGACACGAAUCUUCACUAAUCCAAGUGUUAUAUCGGUAGUAAGAGAAUGAAAUCUAUGAAACAACUACAAUUACAAAGUUCUUUCAUCAAUCUUGAAAGAAUUUAUUUUAGUAGCUUUAAAAUGUGUGCCUUAGAGUUUAAAUCUUCUUAUGUUUAAUUAAUAUAUUUAUUAGUAAUGUAUUAGCUUUCUUCAAUAUAUACCUAGUGAAAUAUGCAUAUCUCCUUACAUUUUAAAUUUGAAGAAUUUUCUUAUCUUUUAUAUGUAACAUUAAAAAAAGAUUGGAUAAGUUUUAUCUAUAACAGCCAAAAAAUAUCUAAACGUCAAAUGUUAUUAUAGGUGUAUAACAGCCAUUCGCUAUAAAAGCCAUUCGCUAUCUAAACGUCAAAUGUUAUUGGAACAAAUGAGGUUGUUAUAGAGAUGUUUGACUGUAAUAUCAAAUAUUAAGUUGCCUUGCAACAUUGAUUUUUUUCUUCUCAAAAUAGGUGUACUGUUGGUUUUGUCGUACGAAGUGGUGAUCAAUAUGCAACGUCCAUCAACACAAUAAUGGGAAUUUGGAAGCACUUCCAAUGGCAUAGGGCAUGAGUCCGAAACUGAAAUAGUGCCAUUUUUGGCAAAAAUACAUUUCUAUUUCUUUUAAAAAAGUUACAUUUCUACAUAAAAUGCAGUAUAAUACUGCAUUUCACUUUAACGGAAAGUUAGCCGUUAAAGCUAAACGCAGUAUUAUACUNNNNNNNNNNNNNNNNNNNNNNNNNGCUGAAGAAUAACUCUGUGAGGUAUAGCUCACCUUCACAGUGUAAUGUUAAAUUGCCACUUAUAAUGGAAUACGAUAAAUUGGUAUCGUUGUUACGUAAAAAAAAUGAGUGUGAGAAAACGUUCGGUUAACCUUAAAGUAACCGGUAGAUUUCCAUAUUCAUUGACUCCACAGGGGUUUGCUUAUUAUUCUUAGUUUAACAUCGAAGAUGAUGAAACUCUUAGAGAUUUUUUGCGGAUUCCGGAUGAAUACAGGAAAUUUAUUGUAAUAAAAUUAUUAGAAAUGUACGUCAAGGUUGAAGAUGUUCCCAAUAAUAAGGGCGUGCAUAGUAGGGAUAACCCCCAGUCAUCGGGUGGUUAUUCUGGAGCAGUUUUUGCCGGACAGAUUGCUGAUGAAAGAGCAUGUCUUGAUUUAAACUUGUCACCACCGGCGAAUGAGCAGCCACAAAAUAAUUUUUUGACUUUAUAUAAUCCACAAAACGACUAGUAAACUUCAAUUUUUCUACGAUUUAGCGAUGUUUAUUUUAUGUUUUAAUUGGAUUUGUAUUAACAAUCAUAUUUUUCAUAGGGGGUACCAUCCGGAUAUGAAUUUUACAAGUUAUGACCCCGCCCCUAGUUGGAAUAUGGGUAGUUCUGGCGUAUUGGACCACGGUAGUCCAUCCGGGAGUCAUCACCAACAAGAAAAUAUCCAUCAUGAAACGUCAAGACAGUACAACUUGUAAAUAAAGUGAUAUAGCUAUAUGUAAAGUAUUUAUCUAGUUGGGUAGCUUAUCAUUUGUUCUUUUUGUGCAGUGAAAACGAGCAUCUUGGUGUUCCUGACCUCACACAGCUGCCCAUAGACGAUGUACUGACUCGUGAUUUGGCAUAUGCGUAGAGUCAGGAAGAUGAUAGUGAUUAUGACAACAAUGCGGAUGAGUUUGGAGAUGACAUACCCUUCCCUGAUGAGGGUGAUGACGAGGAGGAAGUAGAUGUCGAACCUGAGUUGAUGAGGGAGCAUGCUCUUCAACCUCCCACUAGACCAAGAGUGUACAAGUCCCACGUGCCAUUUCAUGAGCGGAAUAUUCCGUACCUUGAUAAUUUGCCAAGUAUGUCGGACGUGGAUGCCCUCACAAGGGAUGAUGACAAAAUUCGGUCAGCGAUGUGGGAUGAUUCUAGACCAGCGGUGCUGGGAAAGGGCAUGUAUUUCCCCAAUAAAGCUCGCCUAGUUAGGGUUGUAAAAAUCUACAGUGUAAGAGAGUGUCGUGAGAUGACGGUAAGUGAGUCAACUAUAGAGGUAUAGAAGACUGUAUCCGUAGAAACUUUACGGGUUGUCACUGGAUGUUGUGUGCCAACAAGAAGAAAUCAGGUUUGUGGAAAGUGGGUAAAUUUAUUAGCACCCACAGAUGUGAAAUGGACAUAUUUAAUGAGAAUCACUUCAACGUGGAUGUGGACUUGAUUUCUCUAGUCUUGAUUCCAUAUUUGGAAGUAUCCAUUAGGUUCAAGAUUAAAAAGUGUAUCACAGCCGUCCACCGGGAGUAUGGUUGUACUAUAACUAAAAGAAAGGCAUAUCUCAGUCGCAAACGUGCCUUUGAACUUAUUUAUGGCGACUGGGAUAAGUCUUCUUCAUCUCUGCCCAGGUACAUGGCCGUACUGCAACACUUUAACCCUAGGAGUGUUGUUGAAUGGAGGCGUGAGCAGAGUCCGGAUAGACCCGAAUAUAUUUUCAACUAUGUGUUCUGGUCAUUUAAAGCAGCAAUUGAUGGUUUUGUGCAUUGUCGUCCUGUAAUUUCCAUAGACGGUACUCAUGUCUAUAGAAAGUAUGAUAUUAAGCUUUUGAUUGUAGUUGCAGUAGAUGCCAACAGACAAAUAUUUCCACUUGCUUUUGCCAUUUGUGCCAACGAAAGCGAAGAGACAUAGAUGCUUUUUUUGAACCACUUGAAGGAGCACGUUGUCAAACAACGUUCAGGUAUUUGUCUAAUAUCUGAUCGAUAUAGUGGUAUUUUAAGUUUUGUACGGCACUUGCCUGAAUGGCAGGAACCCUAUGUAUACCACCGUUACUGUGUGAGGCACCUGAAGGCCA
RNAcentral lists this long non-coding RNA (17035 nucleotides) under Nicotiana tabacum (common tobacco). RNAcentral's name for it is "long non-coding RNA (NTAB_LNC018416)". Lineage: Eukaryota; Viridiplantae; Streptophyta; Magnoliopsida; Solanales; Solanaceae. The record is from RNAcentral.